Megalops cyprinoides (Indo-Pacific tarpon) is the source of this 1001-nucleotide long non-coding RNA. RefSeq lists it as uncharacterized. NCBI's taxonomy places the organism in Eukaryota, Metazoa, Chordata, Actinopteri, Elopiformes, Megalopidae. The record is from RefSeq and is a predicted model, not a curated record. The transcript is spliced from 3 exons.
CCAGAUUUCAGAAGCGGAAAAACCAUAAAAAUGUUCCCUGGAGAGUUUGUUCGAUCCCUUUAACCCAGUGAGGAGUGCCCCUGCAAAUGGGUCAUUGAGUGGAAAUAACCGGAUGGAACCAUACAUUCCGUCAUGCUAACAAACUUCACACGUGCCACAGAGUGUGUGGAUGUGAGGUGGAUAUGUAUCAUGUGCACAACGCAGAACAGUGAUCCACAACAGCACAACUCCAGUGCUUCAUAGAUCUAGACCUUCAACUUUCUGCUGACUGAAGAAAGAAGGAAAAGGUGCAUAUCUGGUGAAAUGAAAAUGCCUCCCAUAUGAGGUGAAUGUAGCUGUCCUCGCAUCGGCCCCUGACAUUGAAACCCGCGGAGAUUCUCUGUUCCCGGGAUGGCUGCACCAUGGAAGAGUACGCCCCAUUCAAACGGAUCACUACUCUGUUCACUGCCUUAAUUCACCCUUUGCUUGUGGCCUUAAAAUACUUUCUGUUGUAAAUGUGGGACUGGGACGUCCCAUAGAUCAUCUGCGCCACACAUGUGUGUAACUGAAGUAGGCCUGCUACAGGUCUGGAAAUGCGGGCCUUGCCAUUGACACACCAAUACCGUGUUCUCGCUGGCCUGUCCACGCUCAAGCCUGCCUGGCCUGUGUCAUGUGAGCUCUGGUUUCUUGCAUUUCUGUCUAAUUCCCCAGGUACUCCUGACCAUGGCUGACUUCCAACUGCUUCCCAUAUGAGGUUAAUUGAGGUGUCAAUACAAAGAGACUCACUCUGUCCACCAGUACUUUUGCCCCUGUGGGAGGUGGUUAGAGAACUGCUGUAACUUGUUUAAAUGAUUAUGCUACCACAACACAAUUUGGAUACCCUUCUUAUGAAUGUUUUUUUUUUUCUUUUCUUAGCUGCCAUACAAGGAAUGUAGUUCAUUGUAGUUGCUCAAUAAUAUGUUAUUUUGAAAUUAGAUCUGCUUUGAGGAAAUCAGUGGUUUAAUGUUAGCAAAUGGUACUGA